Molecule: ribosomal RNA, 498 nt
Filed under: uncultured bacterium
Lineage: Bacteria
Description: bacterial SSU rRNA
Rfam family: Bacterial small subunit ribosomal RNA
Source: RNAcentral
AGAGUUUGAUCCUGGCUCAGGAUGAACGCUAGCGGGAGGCCUAACACAUGCAAGCCGAGCGGUAUUGUUUCUUCGGAAAUGAGAGAGCGGCGUACGGGUGCGGAACACGUGUGUAACCUGCCUUUAUCUGGGGGAUAGCCUUUCGAAAGGAAGAUUAAUACUCCAUAAUAUAUUGAACGGCAUCGUUUAAUAUUGAAAGCUCCGGCGGAUAGAGAUGGGCACGCGCAAGAUUAGCUAGUUGGUGAGGUAACGGCUCACCAAGGCGAUGAUCUUUAGGGGCCUGAGAGGGUGAUCCCCCACACUGGUACUGAGACACGGACCAGACUCCUACGGGAGGCAGCAGUGAGGAAUAUUGGUCAAUGGGUGCAAGCCUGAACCAGCCAUCCCGCGUGAAGGACGACUGCCCUAUGGGUUGUAAACUUCUUUUGUAUAGGGAUAAACCUACCCUCGUGAGGGUAGCUGAAGGUACUAUACGAAUAAGCACCGGCUAACUCCGUG